CCCCGCGCGCCCUCGCGCGUCCCCCGCGCCCGGGCGCAGCUGGCGCGGUCGGUCUAGUGCAGCGCUCGGCUCCGCGCCGCGGGCGCUCGGCUUCACCUUCAGAUGCGCGGGGCGUGCGCGUCCUCCUCCCCAGGCCCGCCGCCUCCCCGCCAAGGAGUUGUUACAGAGAGUUUAGAAUUUUCCAAACGGCUGAACUUCCGUGAGUGUUGUUCUUGUUUUUGCUUGUUGUUAAUUUUUAGUAUCAUGGUGCUGUAUUAUGGAGCUCCUGGGACCUGUACUGUUCCAAAUUUAUGGAACUUUUAGAGCCUUCCUUGUGGUUAAUAUGGAGGCAUUUGAUGUUCUAUUGCCAAUUUAGCAAAAUGGCAAAUUGUGGAGUGUGAUACUCGUAUAUUAGAUAAGCCUUACUUUAGUUUUCAAGCCCUCUAUUUCUUAUUACUUUUGCUUACUUAAUCCGCCAUGCUUACGAGAGAUUUGCCAAUUUUUCCAGAUCAUUUUUCUCUGUUUAUCUUUCCAGGUAUUCACUGUGGCUGUUUCUAAAUGUAUUUUAUUCUGUGUUUGUGGUAUUCUGUGUUAUUUGACUUGAAAGUAUAGCGUAACUACAGCUGGGGAAGGGGUGCUUUCCUGUAAUCCCAGCUUCUUGGGAGGCGGAGGCAGGAGGAUUGCUUGAGUCCAGAAGUUUGAGGCCAGCUUGGGCAACAUAGUAAGACCCUGUCUCAAAACAUUCCCCCACCCACAAAACCAAUAUUAGGAUAAUUAUAUCUUCUUUGUGACUUCUACUUUACCCUUUAUAGUUAUAAGAUAACCUCUUUUUUUUGUUUUGUUUUUGUUUUUGAGACGGAGUCUCGCCGUGUCGCUCAGGCUGGAAUGCAGUGGCACAAUCUCAGCUCACUGCAAGCUCCGCCUCCCAGGUUCACACCAUCCUCCUGCCUCAGCCUCCUGAGUAGCUGGAACUACAGGCACCCGCCACCAUGCCCGGAUAAUUUUUUGUAUUUUUAGUAGAGAUGGGGUUUCACUGUGUUAGCCAGGAUGGUCUCGAUCUCUUGACCUCGUGAUCCGCCCACCUCAGCCUCCCAAAGUGCUGGGAUUACAGACGUGAGCCACCGCCCCUGGCCAACUACUUUUGUAUAAUUGCCUUUUGUGACCACACAUUAAACUUUUAAUGAUAUUUUUUCCAUGUUGCUUUUGUUCGUAUUUUUCUGAUAUAUUUUUCUCUAUGUGUCCUGCUUUUCUGAGUUCCUUAGUCAUAGGUGUUUUUUUUUUUUUUUUUUUUUUUUUUCCAGACAGCAAAAGUCAAUGUAAUUUUUAACCCUAUCGUGGAGUCUUUUUUUAAAUAAGUAAAUGAGUUUAUUCCAUUUAUAUUUAUUUCUGAAACUGACUUGGUCUUCUUUCCUAAUUAAAGAAAAAAAAAACUUUUGUGUUGUACUUCCUCCCUUUUUCUUCUUUUCUAUUUAUUGGAAUAUGAAUUAUGUUUCUUGUCCUUUAUUAAAAUCAGAAAGCAUAUAGAAAGCAUAUCCUGCUUUUGGUUCCACUAGUGGCUAUAUUUAUAAUGUUUUCUUAAAGCUGUAUUUCUUAAUGUUUUAACAUCAGUAAUAAUACAAUUUGACUUCCCCUUUGGGAAAGAAGUUAGAACACUUCUGUUACCUUCCUCUUCUUUCCCCAUCUCCUCCCGCUUCCACAUUGCUAUUGUCAUUCCUUUUUUGGCUGUUUUUUUAGUUUGUUAGUAUUAAUUAUUUUUACAUGACAUAGUUUUUAUUUCAAGACAUGUAAGAAUCACAUGGUUAUUUUACGUGUAGAUCGCAGUUAUUUGGAUGUAAUUCUAUUUCUAUUUAUUUCCUUGCUUACUGGAUUUAGUGAUCAUUGCAGGAUUUUAUUAUUGCUUUUUCUUCCUGUGAGGCCUUCAUUUGGAGCCAUCCUGUUUGACCCGAUGACGUUUCCAGGUUGCUCUUAAAGGACUCUGGUGAGGACACUGGUCCUUAUGGAAGAGUUAGCCUGAGCUGGGUGAGAAUCCAAGCAACAGAAAAGUGGCUCAGAGCUCAGGAGAGCUGAGGAAAUUUCAUAUUGCUGAAGCCAGAGGUGCAUACAUGUGUGUGUUCAUACAUGUGAGUGCCGUGUGCAAGUGCAUAUGUGUGUAAGUGUGCCUGAAUGCAUGUGUGUAUACAGACACAUACACAUGCGAGUAUCCACACGUGUAAGUGCACCUAUGUGUAGGUACAUGUUUGCAAGUGUGCACGUGUAGUGAGCCUGUGCAAAUGCGCACACACACAUGCAAGUGUGCACAUGCAUGUCAGGGAUGGCGGGCGUGUCUGGGUGGUAGCCAAGAGCUGAUGUUUGAGAGGCCGUUAAAGACCACAUCAUCUUGACUGUGAAUUGUCUUGAAGAAUAUGGACUCUGUCCCAAAGGCAAUGGGAAGAGAUGUUGUGGAGGGUCCCUCAGCCAGUCUACAGCAGGGAGGAAGCGUCACAGGCCAGGGACACUGACCAAGGGACCAGCAGGAGGUUUCUGAAGGGAAGAUGAUUCGAUGGUUCAGAACAGGAAGAGGAUGGAGCUC
This is a long non-coding RNA of Macaca mulatta (Rhesus monkey), 2548 nucleotides long. Lineage: Eukaryota; Metazoa; Chordata; Mammalia; Primates; Cercopithecidae. The record is from Ensembl.